Molecule: ribosomal RNA, 1449 nt
Filed under: metagenome
Description: bacterial SSU rRNA
Rfam family: Bacterial small subunit ribosomal RNA
Source: RNAcentral
GGCGGCAUGCCUUACACAUGCAAGUCGAACGGUAACGCGGGGCAACCUGGCGACGAGUGGCGAACGGGUGAGUAAUACAUCGGAACGUGCCCAGUAGUGGGGGAUAGCCCGGCGAAAGCCGGAUUGAUACCGCAUACGACCUACGGGUGAAAGCGGGGGAUCGAAAGACCUCGCGCUAUUGGAGCGGCCGAUGUCAGAUUAGCUAGUUGGUGGGGUAAAAGCCUACCAAGGCGACGAUCUGUAGCUGGUCUGAGAGGACGACCAGCCACACUGGGACUGAGACACGGCCCAGACUCCUACGGGAGGCAGCAGUGGGGAAUUUUGGACAAUGGGGGCAACCCUGAUCCGGCCAUGCCGCGUGCGGGAAGAAGGCCUUCGGGUUGUAAACCGCUUUUGUCGGGGAAGAAAAGGUACGCGCUAAUACCGCGGACUAAUGACGGUACCCGAAGAAUAAGCACCGGUUAACUACGUGCCAGCAGCUGCGGUAAUACGUAGGGUGCAAGCGUUAAUCGGAAUUACUGGGCGUAAAGCGUGCGCAGGCGGCUUUGCAAGACAGAUGUGAAAUCCCCGGGUUCAACCUGGGAACUGCAUUUGUGACUGCAUGGCUAGAGUGCGGCAGAGGGGGAUGGAAUUCCGCGUGUAGCAGUGAAAUGCGUAGAUAUGCGGAGGAACACCGAUGGUGAAGGCAAUCCCCUGGGUCUGCACUGACGCUCAUGCACGAAAGCGUGGGGAGUAAACAGGAUUAGAUACCCUGGUAGUCCACGCCCUAAACGAUGUCAACUGGUUGUUGGACGGCUUGCUGUUCAGUAACGAAGCUAAUGCGUGAAGUUGACCGCCUGGGGAGUACGGCCGCAAGGUUGAAACCCAAAGGAAUUGACGGGGACCCGCACAAGCGGUGGAUGAUGUGGUUUAAUUCGAUGCAACGCGAAAAACCUUACCUACCCUUGACAUGCCAGGAACUUACCAGAGAUGGUUUGGUGCUCGAAAGAGAGCCUGGACACAGGUGCUGCAUGGCCGUCGUCAGCUCGUGACGUGAGAUGUUGGGUUAAGUCCCGCAACGAGCGCAACCCUUAUCAUUAGUUGCUACGUAAGGGCACUCUAAUGAGACUGCCGGUGAUAAACCGGAGGAAGGUGGGGAUGACGUCAGGUCAUCAUGGCCCUUAUGGGUAGGGCUACACACGUCAUACAAUGGCCGGUACAGAGGGCUGCCAACCUGCGAGGGGGAGCUAAUCUCAGAAAACCGGUCGUAGUCCGGAUCGCAGUCUGCAAUUCGACUGCGUGAAGUCGGAAUCGCUAGUAAUCGCGGAUCAGCUUGCCGCGGUGAAUACGUUCCCGGGUCUUGUACACACCGCCCGUCACACCAUGGGAGCGGGUUCUGCCAGAAGUAGUUAGCCUAACCGUAAGGAGGGCGAUUACCACGGCAGGGUUCGUGACUGGGGUGAAGUCGGA